This 497-nucleotide ribosomal RNA is filed under the name uncultured bacterium. RNAcentral describes it as "bacterial SSU rRNA". It matches the Rfam family "Bacterial small subunit ribosomal RNA", at positions 385 to 896 of the family's 1533-position model. The record is from RNAcentral.
GACGGAGCAUACCGCGUGAGGGAAGACGGCCUAUGGGUUGUAAACCUCUUUUCUCAGGGAGGAACUCAAUGACGUUACCUGAGGAAUAAGCAUCGGCUAACUCCGUGCCAGCAGCCGCGGUAAGACGGAGGAUGCAAGUGUUAUCCGGAAUCACUGGGCGUAAAGCGUCUGUAGGUGGCUUAACAAGUCAACUGUUAAAUCUUGAAGCUCAACUUCGAAAUCGCAGUCGAAACUGUUAGGCUAGAGUAUAGUAGGGGUAAAGGGAAUUUCCAGUGGAGCGGUGAAAUGCGUAGAGAUUGGAAAGAACACCGAUGGCGAAGGCACUUUACUGGGCUAUUACUGACACUCAGAGACGAAAGCUAGGGUAGCAAAUGGGAUUAGAUACCCCAGUAGUCCUAGCCGUAAACAAUGGAUACUAGAUGUUGGGCAGAUCGACCUGUUCAGUAUUAAAGCUAACGCGUUAAGUAUCCCGCCUGGGAAGUAUGCGCGCAAGCGUG